Molecule: long non-coding RNA, 621 nt
Organism: Mya arenaria
Lineage: Eukaryota; Metazoa; Mollusca; Bivalvia; Myida; Myidae
Exons: 5
Source: RefSeq, a predicted model, not a curated record
GACGAAUAUUUCCGUAUAAUACCACUUUUAAAUAUACAUUAUACGCUGAUGGAAGCACUACUGCCAUUGACUGCUGCCACCAUGAAAGUAAACUUUAAGGAUAAGUGUGCCCGGUGUGGGGCUUGAACCCAUGACAUCCAGAACACUAGCAAGACAUUCUUGCAAACUGAGCUAACCAGGCGGCUGGUUCUUACCAACACACAACAGAGCCAAAACACUUGUGUGGCUUCUAGCACAGCCCUUGAGCGAUUGAGGUAAAACUGGUGGCAUCUCCAGGUGUGUGACCAGUGACCGACAACCAGCCUGUGGCAUUGCAGUGUGUGCGAUGGCUUAGUAGCUCUAGGGACUCUGGACUAAGAAGAAUGGCACGAGCUUAUGACUACCAUAAAGAUAAUGAAGGACAUAGCGCUGACGAACCAGGUGCCGAUGUUGAAGCAGUCCUUGGAGGUGUUUGUGUUCCGGCAGGAAAGCUGUGCUCACUCGUAACAAGUGUCUGGAGGCCUUCUGAAUGGGAAACCUCAAAAAUAGGGACCUUCAUGUUUACGGAGAAAAGAAAUGUUUUUUUUCUGGCGAAGAUGUGUUGUCUCCCCUGCAAGUGGCCUCCAAUGCUGUCAAGUUGAU